This 253-nucleotide ribosomal RNA is filed under the name uncultured bacterium. RNAcentral describes it as "partial 16S ribosomal RNA". It matches the Rfam family "Bacterial small subunit ribosomal RNA", at positions 524 to 776 of the family's 1533-position model. The record is from RNAcentral.
UACGGAGGAUGCAAGCGUUAUCCGGAAUGAUUGGGCGUAAAGGGUCCGCAGGUGGCCAUGUAAGUCUGCUGUCAAAGAAUGAGGCUUAACCUCAUCAAGGCAGUGGAAACUACAUAGCUAGAGUACGGUAGGGGUAGAGGGAAUUCCCAGUGUAGCGGUGAAAUGCGUAGAGAUUGGGAAGAACAUCGGUGGCGAAAGCGCUCUACUGGACCUCAUCUGACACUCAGGGACGAAAGCUAGGGGAGCGAAUGGG